GACGAACGCUGGCGGCGUGCUUAACACAUGCAAGUCGAGCGGAGCGGCGAACGGGUGAGUAACGCGUGAGUAACUGCACACCUCUCUGGGAUAACAGUUGGAAACGGCUGCUAAUACCGGAUAGUGGGGGAUGAAUCGCGUCCUAUCAGCUUGUUGGUGGGGUGGUGGCCUACCCAGGCGACGGCGGGUAGCCGGCCUGAGAUGGCGACCGGCCACAUUGGGCUGAGAUACGGCCCAGAGUCGUACGGGAGGCAGUAGGGGCGAAUAUUGCGCAAUGGGGGAAACCCUGAUGCAGCAACGCGCGGGCGGAAUGACGGCCUUCGGGUGGGAAACCGCUUUCAGCCAUGACGCGUUAGUGGCAGAAGAAGCACCGGCUAACUACGUGCCAGCAGCCGCGGUAAUAC
Molecule: ribosomal RNA, 404 nt
Filed under: uncultured bacterium
Lineage: Bacteria
Description: partial 16S ribosomal RNA
Rfam family: Bacterial small subunit ribosomal RNA
Source: RNAcentral